Molecule: long non-coding RNA, 1840 nt
Organism: Gallus gallus (chicken)
Lineage: Eukaryota; Metazoa; Chordata; Aves; Galliformes; Phasianidae
Exons: 4
Source: RefSeq, a predicted model, not a curated record
GACCAGCGCUUGCCCCCCUCGUUCUCCCCCCUGGGUGCGUGUGUGCGUACCCCUCCCGGCGGCUGACCCCAACCCAGGGCUGACCCUUGGGAAGGAGGGGAUCUAGAGAGGGGACAGCCCCAUUUCGCACCCAGAGAUUGGCUAUAAGGAGAAGGCUGACGGCUGCAGCAUGAAGCGCAUUAUUACCUUGUGAUUCCAUGACCCUCCUCUAUGCAUCCCUAACUCUCGAAAGCUGAUUCAGCUUUCAGCUAGUGCUCUGGUGAGUCCUCUGCUGCAACAGAAGCUCCUAACUGCAAAAAGUUCCUCAUCACAGAACUCCAUGAAAAUGCCUCUCAGCCUCCAGGCAGAGCGGGUGCCUCUGUUCAGCAUGGAGGGACGCGGCUGUCACCGUGCCAGGUGUGACGCGGGGCUGCAUCAGAUCGAUGGCACGGCCGCAGGAGAGCUCACUAGUGAUGCCAGGUUUAUUUUGGAAGCUAAAACAAUGUAAAAUCAACACGGCACGCACUAAACGGAUGAAAACCCCACUGAUAUGUUUAAAUGUACGGCUGCGUGCAGACACUCAUCACAAGUGGCUGUGUUUCAGUUCAUCACUUUUAGCAAAAUGGUAGAAAAUCAAAACUAAUUACAAUCAAAGUUCGCUGAUGAGUUCGAUUUGGAUCAUGGUGGGGCUGAGGAUCAGCCUUCUCCUGAGUCAGAUUGAAGAAAAAACCACCCAGUUCAACACAGGCACAUACAAAGCCACACUUGGGAACUGGAAUUUCAUGGCAUUCAGGGGGAGGAGGGAUCCUAUAGCACAGCGCUGGAAGCUCAAACAAAUAGCAGAGUGGAAUACCUCUGGUGUAGCAUCUGCUGGGACCCUGCAGCUAUUUCUGGUGUCUGCAGCUCAAGAAGGAUGUUGAUGAAUGGGAGAGGGCUCCGAGGAGGCACACAAGAAUGACGGAAGCAUUGCAAGACAUGCCUUAUAGUGACAGAUUCAAGGACCCCAGUGCGCUUAGCUUAACAAAGAGGAGGUUAAGGGAUGGCUUAAUGACAAUCCAGAUGUGCUCAGACAGACAGAAAUGGAAAGCUCUUCAAUCGAGCAGACAGAGCAAUAAAAAGAGCCGGUAACUGCAAGCUGACACUGCAAAAUUCAUGCUGGGACAGGUGAACUUCUUAAACGGACAGAACCAACACCAGAACCACUUCCUAAGAAGCAGUUUCACCAUCUUUCACCAUUUCAAAUUCAUAUGGAUUUGUUUUUGUUUUGUUUUUAUGUAUAUCUCAGAUCCACCAAAGAUCACUCUUUAAAUGAACACUCAGAGACCCACACGGCAUGAACAGGAUUCGCCUCCCCUGAUUUCUUGAUGGCCUUAAUUAUGAGUAUUUAAGACAUCAUCCCUGAGCACUGAGUGGGACGACCCCCUCCUUUUGGAUCGUGGUCAGCCUCAGUGGUGACUCUCAUGGGCACCUCAGCUCUGCCAGAGGAAUGGCUCUGUGGUUCAGAAGCUGCUGGAAUUUCUCCUUUCAUGGAAGUUCCUCACAAAAGCCUUUGGUGCAGACGACUCUUGGGCAUCUCCAGAACUACCCUUUGGCUUCUCCUGGGGGCUGUCUUGUAAGCCCCAGUGACAUCUUUCAGUGCAGCUGGGGACAAACAGGUAUAUUUUAUUAAUACUAUUAUUAUUAAUGUAAAAUUAAUUUGGGCACUAAGAUGUUAUUUCUGGGUUAUCAGGCUCUGAAAAUAGCAUGAGGGGAGAAUUUUCCUUCCAAAGAAAUACUGUGAUGAGUGAAAGAGGUCAAAUAAGAACUGAUAUCCAAAAGCAAGAAAAUAAAAAUUGUUUUAUAACCAAUUUAUAUAAAAGGG